This 1392-nucleotide unclassified non-coding RNA is filed under the name Hevea brasiliensis (rubber tree). Lineage: Eukaryota; Viridiplantae; Streptophyta; Magnoliopsida; Malpighiales; Euphorbiaceae. The record is from RNAcentral.
CUAACAUGUUAUCUGGCGAUACAGUUCAUUCACCAGACUUAGCUGUUGUUGCAAACAUACAGCAUUUAAAAGUGCGUCCAAGCCAAAUGCCAACGAUACUUAAAUUGUAGCAUGUCCCGAGUUCUAGCAGAACAGACCCUUGACUGAAGUAACGCAGAAGACUGGAGAGAAUCUGUCAUAUCUACAGGUCAUCUAAUCAUCGAGAAAGAAACUGAUGAGAACAAAACGCCAUCAGUGUGUUAAUGGAGCAACGGAGAGAGGAAGAUUUCAUUUCCAAGAUUCUCUGAAGCCAGGAGAACCAUAUCACAUCUCUUGAAUCCCAUUGCACUACAACUGGUGCAUCACUUCACUGCAAACACGGUGCUGAAGCAGGAUCAAGCUCCCAGCAGCCUCUCAAAACCCCUCCUUUUUCCCCAGUAAGCUGAAAUGCAGGAAUCUGAUGAGAAAAUCUCCCAAACUCAUCUUUCGGUAUUUCUAAAAUAGCAGGAUUUGAUCUUUGUAUUCUUGGAGACCUAAAGACUGACUUGAAACCAUUCACACGCACCAUGGAUGAAACUUUUAUCCGGUCUUUUGAAUUCUCAAUGACCUCCACUAUCUCAUACGCAGACGUGUCUGGAUGCAAACUUAAUUUUUUCCAGUUCUUGUACAGUGCCCAAAUAUCGCCAUCUCUUGGAUAGAUCUCAAAUCUGUUCCUAUUAAUAGAUACUGCUUUCACCACAUGGGAGAAUGAACUAGGAUCAUAGACUUGACACUUUUCACUCUGGACUUUGAAUGUUCCACAAACAACCUGAGCAUUUUUAGUUCCUGCACACGCCUCAAGAAGGACUACGUGUAAUUUGAAUGGGGCAGGUACAAUCUUCUUAAUCUGAGCAUAAGUCCUUGGCAUAUUAUUUCGACCAUAAAGAGCCCAUACUUGAUCUACUUGAAACUUCCCCGUGGAUAUAUCCAUCCUAAAAUCACAAAAAGCUUCUUCAGAACCUUUUUCAUCGGGAAAAGUUAUUGGAUUCUUGGAGCUUCCAGAGGAGUUGCUGAGAUCAAAUCUCUUUGUGCAUGAAUGCAACUCUUCAUCAAUGUCAUGACUGGGUAUGCUGGGACUUGAGUGACGGUCUCUUUUAACACAAUUAUCAUCAAAACAAGUGGAAGAACCGUCAUUGGCAGAAUGAGAGCUCAUCUUACUUUGUUUUUCCUCGGAUAGGUUCACUCCUCUAGGAGAUCUUCGAACCUUAGCAGAUUCUCCAUUAGUAGUAUGAAUGCUAUUCAACUCCACAGACUUCAGAGAUAUCGUCACAUUCUCAGACAUUCUAGACUUAUCUCUUGUUCCAGAUGCAACUGCAGGUGAAACAUUUUCUACAGGUUGAGAAUUUGCACCCUUACUGCCUUCCAUAACCUUUU